This is a long non-coding RNA of Meriones unguiculatus (Mongolian gerbil), 922 nucleotides long. RefSeq lists it as uncharacterized. The record is from RefSeq and is a predicted model, not a curated record. NCBI's taxonomy places the organism in Eukaryota, Metazoa, Chordata, Mammalia, Rodentia, Muridae. The transcript is spliced from 4 exons.
UCAGCCAUCUCAGAUGCAGGGAUCUGGAGGACAGAGAUGGAGCCCGGGAGCCCACCAGCACAGGAGCUGCAGCUGCAGUUUGCUGCCCCCGUGGCUGGGACACUGGGCGAGUUGCCCAAGACCUCGUCCUUCUCCACAGACAUCAAUCUCUAAGUCCACAGCUCUCCCAAGGUGCUCUCGGAUGGUCCAUAAGUGAAAGGACCUCUGUGAUUAGACCACGACACCCUGUCUUUGCCAUCCCCUCCUUUCAGGAACCUUCUGUGGCAUUUUUCAGAGGCACCUUGAUCUGUGACAUCACAGCAAUUUAAUGUGGAAGGAGGAGCGAGAGAUUGGCUGUUUGCUGUGUGGCUGUGAGCAGUGUCCUCAUGACUGAUACUGUUUUGGAAAAGUGAAGCCUCCUGAAUACUAAGAAGGUGUUCUACCCUCAGGAAUUUGUAGGAGUCCCACCGAGGAGGGCUUAUGAGGUCCUACCCUCUCCCUCAGGAGCUACAGGCAGGUGAAGUUGCUGGGAGAGGGGCAGUCCUGUUCCCUAGUUGUACAGCCGCUGUUCUGCAGGUUUGAGUAAAUCAUCAACUUCACUGUUUAUCUUUCCAAUCUAUAAAAUGGGAGCCACAAUGCACAUCUGAGAAGGGAGCCCACACGCAGCUGACGCCGGGGAGGCUAACAACAUGGACAGCGGGUUUCCAGCCUCCACAGGAUAUAUGCUUCCCUCGGAAGAAGGGUUCUUCCUUCUGCCAAACCUCGGUCAUCUUGGUAUGCCACAAAAUGCUUGGAUCACAGAGACGAAUGGUAGUAGAUCACACAAAGCUUCUUCAUUCAGAUGAAAGGACAAACAACCCCCAAAGCCAAAAACAAAAACCCAACCUGAAGAUGCUUAGGUCUCCCAGGAGCAGCCCACUUUAUUCAAAUGUUGGAUGACAGU